This 468-nucleotide ribosomal RNA is filed under the name uncultured Methanomicrobiales archaeon. Its description in RNAcentral is "bacterial SSU rRNA". It matches the Rfam family "Archaeal small subunit ribosomal RNA", at positions 871 to 1337 of the family's 1478-position model. Lineage: Archaea; Methanobacteriati; Methanobacteriota; Methanomicrobia; Methanomicrobiales. The record is from RNAcentral.
CGGGGAGCACCACAACAGGUGGAGCCUGCGGUUAAUCGGACUCAACGCCGGGAAACUCACCAGAUAAGACAGCUGAAUGAUAGUCGGGCUGAAGACUCUACUUGACUAGCUGAGAGGAGGUGCAUGGCCGUCGUCAGUUCGUACUGUGAAGCAUCCUGUUAAGUCAGGCAACGAGCGAGACCCACGCCAACAGUUGCCAGCUCGUCCUCCGGGAUGGUGGGGACACUGUUGGGACCGCCUCUGCUAAAGAGGAGGAAGGAAUGGGCAACGGUAGGUCAGCAUGCCCCGAAUUAUCUGGGCUACACGCGGGCUACAAUGGGUGGGACAAUGGGUAUCGACACCGAAAGGUGAAGGCAAUCUCCUAAACCCAUCCGUAGUUCGGAUUGUGGGCUGCAACUCGCCCACAUGAAGCUGGAAUCUGUAGUAAUCGUGUCUCAAAAUGGCACGGUGAAUAUGUCCCUGCUCCUU